CAGAGGGCAGCUACCCAGCAAUGGGAUGCGAAUCUCGAAAGCCUGUCUCAGUUCGGAUUGGAGGCUGAAACCCGCCUCCAUGAAGUUGGAUUCGCUAGUAAUCGCGCAUCAGCCAUGGCGCGGUGAAUACGUUCCCGGGCCUUGUACACACCGCCCGUCAAGCCAUGGGAGCCGGGGGUGCCUGAAGUUCGUGACCGCAAGGAGCGACCUAGGGCAAAACUGGUGACUGGGGCUAAGUCGUAACAAGGUACC
RNAcentral lists this ribosomal RNA (252 nucleotides) under uncultured bacterium. RNAcentral describes it as "partial 16S ribosomal RNA". It matches the Rfam family "Bacterial small subunit ribosomal RNA", at positions 1240 to 1500 of the family's 1533-position model. The record is from RNAcentral.